Molecule: ribosomal RNA, 429 nt
Filed under: Chloroflexota bacterium
Lineage: Bacteria; Bacillati; Chloroflexota
Description: Chloroflexi bacterium partial 16S ribosomal RNA
Rfam family: Bacterial small subunit ribosomal RNA
Source: RNAcentral
UAGGGAAUCUUCGGCAAUGGACGAAAGUCUGACCGAGCAACGCCGCGUGAGUGAAGAAGGUUUUCGGAACGUAAAACUCUGUUGUUAGAGAAGAACAAGGACGUUAGUAACUGAACGUCCCCUGACGGUAUCUAACCAGAAAGCCACGGCUAACUACGUGCCAGCAGUCGCGGUAAUACGUAGGUGGCAAGCGUUGUCCGGAUUUAUUGGGCGUAAAGCGAGCGCAGGCGGUUUCUUAAGUCUGAUGUGAAAGCCCCCGGCUCAACCGGGGAGGGUCAUUGGAAACUGGGAGACUUGAGUGCAGAAGAGGAGAGUGGAAUUCCAUGUGUAGCGGUGAAAUGCGUAGGUAUAUGGAGGAACACCAGUGGCGAAGGCGGCCACCUGGACAAAGACUGACGCUCAGGUGCGAAAGCGUGGGGAGCAAACAGG